AAUGGCAUUUACAGAGGGAAGCGAGACAGUGAUGUGGAGCGGACCCCUUAAAGAAUGUCGUAGUCCGGAUUGGAGUCUGCAACUCGACUCCAUGAAG
Molecule: non-coding RNA, 97 nt
Rfam family: Bacterial small subunit ribosomal RNA